Lacerta agilis (Sand lizard) is the source of this 194-nucleotide small nuclear RNA. RefSeq annotates it as U2 spliceosomal RNA. The transcript has a single exon. The record is from RefSeq and is a predicted model, not a curated record. NCBI's taxonomy places the organism in Eukaryota, Metazoa, Chordata, Lepidosauria, Squamata, Lacertidae.
AUUGCUUCUCAGCCUUCUGGCUAAAAUCAAAGUGAAGUACCGGUAUCUGUUCUUAUCAGUUGAAUAUAUAAUACAGUGUGUUCUCUAUGUAAGGACACAGUGUUAAGCCAAUUUUGGAACCAGGAGUUGGAUAUGAGGCUUGGUCCCCCCACUAUAUGCAUUGACUUGAUAUUGCAGGGCCCAGUGCAAUUUCA